Molecule: ribosomal RNA, 255 nt
Filed under: uncultured bacterium
Lineage: Bacteria
Description: partial 16S ribosomal RNA
Rfam family: Bacterial small subunit ribosomal RNA
Source: RNAcentral
UACGUAGGGCGCAAGCGUUUGUCCGGAAUUAUUGGGCGUAAAGAGCUCGUAGGCGGUCUGUCGCGUCGGAUGUGAAAGCCCGGGGCUUAACCCCGGGUCUGCAUUCGAUACGGGCAGACUAGAGUGUGGUAGGGGGAGAUCGGAAUUCCUGGUGUAGCGGUGAAAUGCGCAGAUAUCAGGAGGAACACCGGUGGCGAAGGCAGGUCUCUGGGCAUUAACUGACGCUGAGGAGCGAAAGCAUGGGGAGCGAACAGG